GGAAGUAAAAGUCGUAACAAGGUUUCUGUAGGUGAACCUGCGGAAGGAUCAUUACCACACCCAAAACAAAAAACAGAGGUCUCCGAUUCGCAAGAUGACGGACUGAUGUUGACCCGCGGAACUUUCGUCUCUGUUUGGUGUAGGCUUGCUUCGGCACCUGCAUCGGCAUUGAUGCUUUAAGAUCUAAAUUUAACCCGCUCUUCUGUACGAACCUGUUAGAAUCCCCUGCUUCGGUAGGCCUGGCUUGGUAGUAGUCAGAGAGCAACCAUUGAACUAAAGCCGCGAUAAGCUUCUAGUGCUGUUACUUUCGGGUUCAGCCUAGGGGUACGCAAACUUAAUCAAUCACACUUUCAGCAACGGAUGUCUUGGCUCCUAUAACGAUGAAGAACGCAGCGAAAUGCGAUACGUCUUGCGAAUUGCAUAGCCAGCGAGUCAUCAAAAUUUUGAACGCAUCUUGCACUUCCCUUUGGGGAGUAUGUCUGUUGGAGUAUCUGUAGAACCCUCUUGAGCCAUCAGGGCUGUAACAAGCCUCUGAUGGAGAUCGUGGUCUCCCUCCUAUUUAUACAGGAGUCGGAUAGAUGUAAAGGCUUAUGUCUUAGUUCCUCUUCGGAGGCUAAGCUAAGCUAGCGUUUCAGGUGUGCGUCAAAGCCGCAUACUCGAACCAAUCCCUUGUGGAGUUCCUCUUGUAGGACGAAACAAGUUGUGGUCUUUAGUAGAGUUUGCGAUCCCUUUGUAUGCAUUCAACACAACUGAUAAUACAUGGAGAAGUGAGUCUUCUCAAUCAGACCUCCAAUCAGACAAGAAUACCCGCUGAAUUUAAGCAUAUCAAUAAGCGGAGGA
RNAcentral lists this ribosomal RNA (840 nucleotides) under uncultured fungus. RNAcentral's name for it is "eukaryotic LSU rRNA". The stretch from base 346 to 493 matches the Rfam family "5.8S ribosomal RNA". Lineage: Eukaryota; Fungi. The record is from RNAcentral.